This is an RNA transcript of Panicum virgatum (switchgrass), 3367 nucleotides long. RefSeq lists it as uncharacterized. The record is from RefSeq and is a predicted model, not a curated record. Lineage: Eukaryota; Viridiplantae; Streptophyta; Magnoliopsida; Poales; Poaceae. The transcript is spliced from 9 exons.
GGCCGGGCCCCGGGCAGGAGCGCGUGAAGCCCUGCGGCGAGCAUGUGGCAGCCCUGAUUCCUGCCCGUAGCUCGACGAUAACCUCAUCGAUCUGCAGCCCCUGCCUCCCCCGCUGCCGCGCCACCCCCACCAGCCAUCGCGGGCCCCUGCCAGCCCGCACACCCCUGCUUCCCCCGCCGUCGCGCCACCCCCACUUGCCGAUCCGCCGCCCCUACCUCCCACGCCGGGCCGCGCGCCCCUGCUUCCCCUGCCGCCGCGCCACCCCCACCCGCCGCCAGGAAUUGCUCCGCCCCGAUCUGCUCCGUCGUGACGUCUUCGUGGCGCCGGCCGGGGUGGUCACCUACCUGGCCAACACCGACGGCCGGAGGAAGCGGACCAGCGGCGGCUCAGCGUGUUCAACGCCAUCGAAGGCGCCUACAGCGAGAACCUGCCCGUCAUCUGCAUCACCGGCGGGCCCAACUCAUCCUCCGCCACACCAUCGGCCUCCUGGACUUCUCUCAGGAGCUCCGCGGCUUCCAGACCGUCACCUGCCACCAGGCGGUGGUGACCAAUCUGGACAACGCGCACAUCAGGUCAGGCACUCAGGCAUGUCCUGGUCACUGACCGCUUUAGGAUUUGUUUGUUUGCUAGCCUAGCAUAGUUUCUUUAAUUGGAAACUCGACCAUUGAUUAUGUUCAGAAGUCCCAGUUUGUUUCAUGUUUUAGUGCCAUCAGCUUGUGAAUUCAGUGAUUGGCGAUAAUUCUGGAAAUGUCAUGUAUAGUUCUGAACCAGAAAUGCUCUUGCAACACCUAGCUGAUAUACUUGCGAAUUUAGAGAUUGUUGGUGCACCUGGUGAACUAAAGAAAUUGUUACAAGACACAUCGACAUUGUAACCAGUGACAGGUUUACAAUUAAGUGUUAGGUAACCAGUGACUCCGCUUCACCAUCUAAAAAUGCAUACACAGAAUUGUAACUUAUUACAGAUGAACUUGCAAUGUAAGCAGAAUUUGCAACUAACUUCUGAGAGCAAACAUUUUUUUCCUUGUUUUAUAAGCACAAGGAGCAAUCGAGACUCAAGAUUACUAGCAAGUUGCCUCAUAGCUCACUGCACAAGGUCAUUAACAAGGUUUCUUUCAUUAACAAUGUGUCUAAGAAUACAACUUUAAGAUCAAGAAAUAUUAAGAAAUGUUUCUUUCAUGAUCUUUCAAAAUGGUUGCUCAGUUAAGAAUACAUACUGUACAGAGUUAUAUAUUCUUUAAUGCACUAAUGUUCCUAUUUAAUUGUAAUACACGAAUGGAUGCUUCUGGUUCAAGCAACAUAUGAGACACAGCAAUCUAUCAUCGAGGAUGGUAAUAUCCUUGCUUUGAUUUUAUUCAGUUCAAGAUUUCCACAUAUUUAAUUGGCUCAUGAUGAUGUUAAACCUGGAAUGUUACUGCGAGCUAAGGCUGCUACUGUUGAGAAAAAUUUAGCAUGUGCAAACUACAUUUGAAUAGGAAUGUAGCAAUGUAAAGAAAAAGGGGAGGAAUUUUGUGACUUUUUUUUUCAGAUCUGAAUUGCUUAGAAAUUUGAAAACAACUGAAACCUGGUGAUUUUCCUCUCAAACAUGUGAAUGUAUUCUAUUCAACAACAGAUGUCCCGGUGAGUGUAUUUGUGUUCUGUACUUGGGGAUUUUUACUUAGGGAUGUGUUUUGUUUUUUUUUUUGGGGUUCAAAAUAGGAGCUGGAGUUUUGUGGUAAGGAGCAUUUCACCGGAAGAGCUAAUGGAAGAAUAAAAUUGCAACUAUGAUGCACCUUGUCUUGUACAUAAGCUUUGUUUUCCUAUUGUAAUGUCAACUAGGCAGGUUAAACCCUUUUAUUUGAAAAGCAAAUCAUAAUGAUGCCUGCCACUCCCCACUCAAACAUGAAGUUUGUGUGAAACAUGAAGCCUGUUAUUCUUGUUCUGUCACUAAUUCGUCAAAAACAUGAAAUACAUUUACACAAGAUUCAAUAAACAUGAAGCCUGUUAUUCUUGUUAUGUCACUAAUUCGUCAAAAACAUGAAAUACAUUUACACAAGAUUCAAUAGUGAUGGCUAUUUUUUAUAAUCAGUUUUCUGUACUAUAGGAAGGCACUGGAAUAAGGGUAUAAUGCAUUCCCUGUCGAUAGCUAUUUUUGCAGGGUUUAAUUUUAGUGCACACACAACCACAUGUGAUUUGCUUGGCAUGCAUGCCGCACAUGGGCUCUGCUAGGUUGGAAAAGGUAUCUUUAAAGUUUCUACAAUGAAUUGUGGUUUGAUUUAAUCUCAAUUGCCAUCACCUUAAUGAAUUGUGGUUUGCUUUUUUCCUUUCAGAGCCACAUGCUUCUUAAUGCUAGGUUUCCAUCAGGUUUGGAGAGCAACACUUGGAUAGCACUUUGGGGGCCAGAUGGAUUCGCUGGAGAAACUGACUGCAUUGCUUGAUGCGUGUAGUGAGCUGGGUGUGGAUACAGGCCCAAGAAUGAUAGAGCUUUGACAAGGAGAAGGAUGUUAACAGUGUGCGCGUCCCUUCUCUAGAGAUGGUUUGUAAAGACUUUCAUGCUUGUAAAUGGCCUUCAGACCUGGCAAACGAGGAUGAGUCUAUUGCUCUUUACUUCGACAAAUUGAAUGACAAGAACCAUGAUGCUAUUGAAGAAGUAAAAAAUAGCAGCAAGCAGAUAUUAACAUUUUCACACUUCGUACCAAGUCGGCUUCCAAGAAUAUGAGAUCACAUAAUAAUUCAAGAAGUAGCCUCCUACACCGCCACUUUUAAAUUGUUUGUACACAAUGAGGCAGAUUCUGCAGGGAAUGAUAGGUGUGAGGAGAUCCACGUGAUAUCUGAGCUAUUUCUAUAGUGAGGCUAAUUUUCAGAUGCGCAAGAUGAAUUUUUCCUUUUAUUAUUAUUCUUCUUCAUGAUUGCCGAAAGAUUAAACCAUUGAAAUAGUGUGUGGAAGGUAGGCUACCUUCUGGAUCAGGGUAAGGAAACUUAACAAGAGUCAUGCUGCUGCUUGGACCACGUAUUAGAGAAGAUCGGCGUGACCUCUGCGGCCAAAGGAGCGGAAUGCUAGCCUGUCGUGAUGAUGACUAUUUGGAGUUUGUAUAUUGGAAUUUGGAAUCACGGGUUUUCCCACUCGUCAAUCCUGUCGUGCCCUUGGUCGACGAAAAUUUUUCUGAUCAGUGGCACAAAAAUUUUUCUGAUCACUGGGGCCGGUGAGAGGUAGGUAGGAAAGUUUUAGGUAAAAGUAUUUCUUGUUUUGUUUUUUAUAGUGUAGAUUUUAGUUUUCUGAUCUUGUUUUCUUCCAAUGGGUGGGAUUUGAUUGGCUCCAAAUAAAUUUAUGUAAACUCUCAUUGGUUAUUCCAUCGCGCAAUAAAUGAGACUUUUUAGUAGUUCGAUGCAA